This 72-nucleotide transfer RNA is filed under the name Plenodomus lingam JN3. Its description in RNAcentral is "tRNA-Ala (TGC) (tRNA-Ala-TGC-1-1, tRNA-Ala-TGC-1-2)". It matches the Rfam family "tRNA". Rfam says of the family: Transfer RNA (tRNA) molecules are approximately 80 nucleotides in length. Their secondary structure includes four short double-helical elements and three loops (D, anti-codon, and T loops). Lineage: Eukaryota; Fungi; Ascomycota; Dothideomycetes; Pleosporales; Leptosphaeriaceae. The record is from RNAcentral.
GGGGAUGUGGCUCAGUGGUAGAGCGCCCGCUUUGCAUGCGGGAGGCCCAGGUUUCGAUCACCUGCUUCUCCA